GACGAACGCUGGCGGCGUGCUUAACACAUGCAAGUCGAACGGAAAGACCCUGCUUUUGUGGGGUGCUCGAGUGGCGAACGGGUGAGUAACACGUGAGUAACCUGCCCUUGACUUUGGGAUAACUUCAGGAACCUGGGGCUAAUACCGGAUAGGAGCUCCUGCUGCAUGGUGGGGGUUGGAAAGUUUCGGCGGUUGGGGAUGGACUCGCGGCUUAUCAGCUUGUUGGUGGGGUAGUGGCUUACCAAGGCUUUGACGGGUAGCCGGCCUGAGAGGGUGACCGGCCACAUUGGGACUGAGAUACGGCCCAGACUCCUACGGGAGGCAGCAGUGGGGAAUAUUGCACAAUGGGCGGAAGCCUGAUGCAGCAACGCCGCGUGCGGGAUGACGGCCUUCGGGUUGUAAACCGCUUUCGCCUGUGACGAAGCGUGAGUGACGGUAAUGGGUAAAGAAGCACCGGCUAACUACGUG
RNAcentral lists this ribosomal RNA (468 nucleotides) under uncultured bacterium. Its description in RNAcentral is "partial 16S ribosomal RNA". It matches the Rfam family "Bacterial small subunit ribosomal RNA", at positions 28 to 507 of the family's 1533-position model. The record is from RNAcentral.